UUUAUUAUUAUUAUUACUAUUUUUUGAGUAGGAAUCUCACUGUGUUGCUCAGGAUGGAGUGCAGUGGCACACU
Molecule: small nucleolar RNA, 73 nt
Filed under: Carlito syrichta (Philippine tarsier)
Lineage: Eukaryota; Metazoa; Chordata; Mammalia; Primates; Tarsiidae
Description: Small nucleolar RNA Me28S-Am2634 (ENSTSYG00000024131.2)
Source: RNAcentral